Molecule: long non-coding RNA, 429 nt
Filed under: Mytilus galloprovincialis (Mediterranean mussel)
Lineage: Eukaryota; Metazoa; Mollusca; Bivalvia; Mytilida; Mytilidae
Source: RNAcentral
UUAAGCACUGUUAAAGUCAGAAUGUUGCUCCCAUAAACUCAUAAUAUAAAAAAAGACAUAAAAUAAAAAAAAAAUCCCUGCCUACCUACCCUAACUUAUUUUCAGAUGUAACUGGAACCACACAUACUUUUUUUUUUGGCCUUAGUGUACAAUUAGAUACAAGUAUGUGAUAACUUGAGAUAAAAACUAGUAGAAUUCUAAGUGAACUACCAAACUACUUAUUCCAAAAAAAAAAAAAUACAAAACUGGGACAAAGCAAGGUGAACUCAAAAACAUUUCUACUCAUUACACUUGUGACACAAACAGCAUUUGAAUCAGUAUUCAGUAACUGAACAAAACAAACAAAAAUGCAGUUUAAGAAAUUUAGCGAAUAUUUUUCAAGUAUGAAGGUACAUGAUGUAGGAGGGAUGGACAGCUUUUGAGGAUGGA